CCUACGGGGUGCAGCAGCGGGGAAUAUUGGACAAUGGGGGAAACCCUGAUCCAGCCAUGCCGCGUGAGUGAUGAAGGCCUUAGGGUUGUAAAGCUCUUUCGCCAGGGAAGAUAAUGACGGUACCUGGAAAAGAAGCCUCGGCUAACUCCGUGCCAGCAGCCGCGGUAAGACGGAGGAGGCUAGCGUUGUUCGGAAUUACUGGGCGUAAAGCGUGCGCAGGUUGUGAGUUCAGUUGGAUGUGAAAGCCCGGGGCUUAACCUCGGAUGUGCAUCCAAUACUGGCUCGCUGGAGGUUGGAAGAGGAGAGUGGAAUUCCCAGUGUAGAGGUGAAAUUCGUAGAUAUUGGGAAGAACACCAGUGGCGAAGGCGGCUCUCUGGUCCAUACCUGACACUCAUGCACGAAAGCGUGGGGAGCAAACAGGAUUAGAUACCCCAGUAGUCC
This 441-nucleotide ribosomal RNA is filed under the name uncultured Alphaproteobacteria bacterium. Its description in RNAcentral is "bacterial SSU rRNA". It matches the Rfam family "Bacterial small subunit ribosomal RNA", at positions 338 to 796 of the family's 1533-position model. Lineage: Bacteria; Pseudomonadati; Pseudomonadota; Alphaproteobacteria. The record is from RNAcentral.